CUCUCUCUCUGCUGCAGAGCCGGCAACGCAGAAACGCAGGCAACACAACGCUGUGGCGUCAGGAUCUGGAGCUGUCAAUCAGCUCAGCCCCGCCUGAGGUCGGAGAAUCUUACUACAGCACCAAAUACGGGCAAGACGCAGCCUUGUAUGGUUUGAUGUUUGGACAUUGAGUAUGAAGAUUAAUCAAAAAUGACAAAGAUUCCCUCGACUUGAAUGUGGAUCCUUGGCAUUUGGAAUGGCACCAAUGGAUCAAACAAUGAAGCGGGGUAUGGAAGAUACAGGCAGGGGACCCUCCGAUUCUUCUUUCAACAAGAGUACAAAUUGGUCAAGCCAAUUUCAAAGCAUUAAAACACCACUCACUACUUAA
Long non-coding RNA from Rhincodon typus (whale shark), 367 nucleotides. RefSeq lists it as uncharacterized. Lineage: Eukaryota; Metazoa; Chordata; Chondrichthyes; Orectolobiformes; Rhincodontidae. The record is from RefSeq and is a predicted model, not a curated record. The transcript is spliced from 3 exons.